UAAUAUGGUGCAUUUGGAUCAACGUUAUUUUACCAUUAGUAGAUUGCAUGGCUAUGAGGCGUUGAGUGGGCGUAGGCCUGCGGUACCUAUGUGUGCGUGGGUCCAGUACCUAUUGGACAGGCGUCUAUGACGUCGGGGCCUUAGGUGUGAAUGUACAGAGGGGGUGCUAUCAGGCAUAAAUAUACGGGGCCCAUUGAUACGGGAGCGUACGACCUCCGGCCCUGACGUUAGACACGCUAUUCUAAGAUAGUAAAAGCGUCGUAGCAGUUGGAAGAAAAAAAAAACAUCGAACCGUCCUGUACAACUAUGCCGACUGACUGUAAGUAUUCAUAUGAGUGUAUUAUGAUUAUAUUAUGACUAUGUCUAUGUGAAUCAGCUGUUUAUAUCUGACCGUAGCUGCGAUUACUUUACAGCGAAUCGCGGUGCCGGAGGCGAGAGCGUGAAACAGCAGCAGGGUCCACGUGGAAGUAUGUUUUUUUUUUUUUUUAUAGCAGCGUGUAAUAUAUAGUUCCAUAACACUCUCUCUAUCAUUAUUAUUAUUAGUUAUGGUAUAUUCAUGUAGAACAAAGAUUAAAUUUGUGUUUUCCCAAUGUGUAACAGGUUUGCCUGAUAUUCGGCUCAACAUUCAAAGACCGAUUCUAGCAGACCAGACUAAUGUGCUGACAAGCGGUAGUUUUGUACCUAUCGAGGCCAAUGUCAUUCAGCGAACCCCCGGACCAAAUCGACUGUCCAAGAAGAAUUUGAAAAGAUCGGCGGGGGUAGUGGUGGCUAUACCCUGCCCGCCACUGGCCAUAGAACAGCUACAAAUUCCUUAUAAAAAGGCUCGCAAGGAUGCCACACAUAAUGGUUUAGCUCCGGAGAAUUUUACCCAGGUUAUACAGGCAGUCAUAAACCCACAAAUUGCUCAACAUGGAGCGGCAUGGUCUGAUGCCAAACACUGCGUGAUCGGGGACGUGGAGGUGCAUGUGUCUGAGUCGCCUACAGAGACCGUCACAGUGCAACCGGAUGGGACUAUACAACACGGUAGGAAAUUCAAUGAAAAAAAAAUAUGUAUAUAUUCUAUAGAGUGUAAUGAUUAUGAUGGGAUUGAUACUGAUUUCUUUUCUUUUUUUUUCUAUUACAAACAGCCCAUGGAGACCCCCAGUGUGCGCCACCACCAGAGCUGACCGCCGACGAUUGGGCUGGUCUUGACGACAUCUCGUCCUGGACUUCAUCGUUGUUGGAACAUAUCGACUUCACUCCUGCUCAGUGGAUCGACUCUCCAGCUACAUCCGUAGAGGAGUACACCAGUGCAGAGCCUGUACAACACCAUCAGCCUGCAGAUCCUGCAUCUGGAUCCCUACAAGCCAUUCAAGAUCCUAUCAGCGACCCCCCGUGCACCGUGAGUCCCAUCGCUCAUGAGGUAGCGGUGCCGCGGCUACCAGCCGGACCCGCAAUUGCUGUUGAUGAACACCAUGCAGGGGCGCAAGGUGAUAAAUGGCGUAAACAAUUUGCUGAUAAACUAGCUGUGUUAACUGCGUCGGUGGAUGUAAACUCCUUAGUCAUCGCUCGUCAGAGUAAACUGGGUGUGGCGGCUGGUAAACGUGGUGACCGUAUAUAUCAGGAGCUCGAAGAGCAGACGAAGCAGUCCUUCACGGCUCUCAGGGCCGAGAUUGCGCGUGAUCGUAUGACUGCUGAAUCCCCAAACACUGAGACCGGUAAUGGUCGUGCUAUCGUUGCCCUUCAGCGUAAGCAUUUGGAUGCCGUGGCAGCUGUGCGUGUCAACACACAGGGCAUAGAGAGAAUUAACGCGCAAGAGGGGUUAAGAGCUGCUAAAACCGCUCGAAAAUUCUGGUUAAUGCAAUCUGCUAGCGAAGCCAACGUCAAUGCCUAUCGGGCAAUGAGUACCGAGAUGUCUGUGAUUAAUGACACACUAGCAAAGCUUACGAUGAAUGCUAUUAUUUGAUUUGUGUUUUUGUUUUUAAUGUUUUUUUCUUUCAUUUCAUGGAGAGGGUAUCUUUUGUUUUAAACUGCAUGUAAUAAAACUUUUUUUUCUUUUAAUACCUGACUACUUAACGUUUUUUUUUUAUUAAAUAUUAUUAUUUAUAUAUAUAUAUUUAUUUUUUUUUAAUUUUUUUUUCUAUCUAUCGGCAUAGAAAACUAUAGCUGUACACUAUGCAUAACGCCAUUAGCCCUAGAAAAAGGAAAUUCAAAUCUAUAGACGGUAAUCCCAAGAGACGGCGUAGAUCUGAUAGUGGGGGUAGCAUUAUGGAUUUAGAACUUGAAGAGAUGGCAAUGAGGUAUGACGCAACCGGCGAUACGUCUCAUUUGUCGGCCGUAGGACAUGUGGGGGGUGGGGGCAUGUAUGCAGAAGGUUGUUUAGACAUGCGGGAAAUAUGUGUUGGCAUAGAUAGAACUAGGCGUGUGUUAAUUGCAGCUGAUGCAUGGGGUCAUAGCAUGGCUAAUGCUCUAUAUCAGGCAGCACAGAUAAAUGUUUCGAACGAACCAGGUCUAGAUGAGAUGGUGGGGCUAGAGGUGCCAGGAGAUUUAGACACAAGGGGUGUGUUGUAUGCGGGGGCAAACACACGAAAUGUACUUAACGCUGUCGGGGGGUGGUUGGAUAGUGCACAAGAGAGUCUAUACAUAUCAGCGCAGAUCGAUGUAUU
Molecule: long non-coding RNA, 2645 nt
Filed under: Gadus morhua (Atlantic cod)
Lineage: Eukaryota; Metazoa; Chordata; Actinopteri; Gadiformes; Gadidae
Description: lncRNA (ENSGMOG00000024953.1)
Source: RNAcentral